AAUUAGCAUCAUCGGUAACAGCUGAGUUGACCCGACUAUUUCAUGUCAUGGCACACUGUGAUUUAAAUGUUGUUGUUGUAGUUGAUGUAACACAGCUUACGUCAUGAUGACAGUUGAUCCUGAACAAAGCAGCAGUGAUGUGGUGGGAGGAAAGAAAAGCCAGCGAUAGCAGCAAUCUCCGAUGAGCUGGUGAACUGCCAAACAUGUCUGCAGCUUCACAGAGAGAGGCACUGGCAGUUGGUGAGAGGAUUGUGCCACGUGGGGGGGAACCCACGACCACCACAUUCACACAUAAAAAAAAAAGACAAAUGGCAUCAGAGAGUCACGUACUGAAUUUCUUUCCACCGAGAAUGCUUGUCAUAUUAUUGGUCGGGCUCCGCCAGCUGAUGUCGAGAUGGUUAAAUAACAAAGAUUCAGCAAAUUGUGAUACAUGUUUUA
Molecule: long non-coding RNA, 438 nt
Organism: Larimichthys crocea (large yellow croaker)
Lineage: Eukaryota; Metazoa; Chordata; Actinopteri; Sciaenidae
Exons: 3
Source: RefSeq, a predicted model, not a curated record